UACGAAGGGGGCUAGCGUUGCUCGGAAUCACUGGGCGUAAGGCGCACGUAGGCGGCUUUUUAAGUCAGGGGUGAAAUCCUGGAGCUCAACUCCAGAACUGCCUUUGAUACUGAGAAGCUUGAGUCCGGGAGAGGUGAGUGGAACUGCGAGUGUAGAGGUGAAAUUCGUAGAUAUUCGCAAGAACACCAGUGGCGAAGGCGGCUCACUGGCCCGGUACUGACGCUGAGGUGCGAAAGCGUGGGGAGCAAACAGG
RNAcentral lists this ribosomal RNA (253 nucleotides) under uncultured bacterium. RNAcentral's name for it is "partial 16S ribosomal RNA". It matches the Rfam family "Bacterial small subunit ribosomal RNA", at positions 524 to 776 of the family's 1533-position model. The record is from RNAcentral.